RNAcentral lists this small nuclear RNA (164 nucleotides) under Salvator merianae (Argentine black and white tegu). RNAcentral describes it as "U1 spliceosomal RNA (ENSSMRG00000016730.1)". It matches the Rfam family "U1 spliceosomal RNA". Rfam says of the family: U1 is a small nuclear RNA (snRNA) component of the spliceosome (involved in pre-mRNA splicing). Its 5' end forms complementary base pairs with the 5' splice junction, thus defining the 5' donor site of an intron. The record is from RNAcentral. Lineage: Eukaryota; Metazoa; Chordata; Lepidosauria; Squamata; Teiidae.
AUAUUUACCUGGCAGGGGAGACACCAUGAUGAUGAAGGUAGUUUUCCCAGGGUGAGGGUCAUCCAUUGCACUCUGGGUGUACUGACCCCUGCGAUUUCCCCAAAUGCGGGAAACUUGACUGCAUAAUUUGUGGUAUUAGGGGACUGCGUUCACACUUNNNNNNN